This 83-nucleotide transfer RNA is filed under the name Firmicutes bacterium CAG:882. It matches the Rfam family "tRNA". Rfam says of the family: Transfer RNA (tRNA) molecules are approximately 80 nucleotides in length. The record is from Rfam by way of RNAcentral. Lineage: Bacteria; Bacillati; Bacillota.
GCCGAUAUGGGAUAAUGGUAUUCCAGUAGCUUGCUAAGCUAUCCAACAGAAAUGUUGUACAGGUUCAAAUCCUGUUGUUGGCG